This 498-nucleotide ribosomal RNA is filed under the name uncultured bacterium. RNAcentral describes it as "partial 16S ribosomal RNA". It matches the Rfam family "Bacterial small subunit ribosomal RNA", at positions 30 to 523 of the family's 1533-position model. The record is from RNAcentral.
AUUGAACGCUGGCGGCAUGCCUUACACAUGCAAGUCGAACGGUAACAGGUCUUCGGAUGCUGACGAGUGGCGAACGGGUGAGUAAUACAUCGGAACGUGCCUAGUAGUGGGGGAUAACUACCCGAAAGAGUGGCUAAUACCGCAUGAGAUCUACGGAUGAAAGCAGGGGAUCGCAAGACCUUGUGCUACUAGAGCGGCCGAUGGCAGAUUAGGUAGUUGGUGGGAUAAAAGCUUACCAAGCCGACGAUCUGUAGCUGGUCUGAGAGGACGAUCAGCCACACUAGGACUGAGAAACGGCCCAGACUCCUACGGGAGGCAGCAGUGGGGAAUUUUGGACAAUGGGCGCAAGCCUGAUCCAGCAAUGCCGCGUGCAGGAUGAAGGCCUUCGGGUUGUAAACUGCUUUUGUACGGAACGAAAAGCCCCGGGUUAAUACCCUGGGGUCAUGACGGUACCGUAAGAAUAAGCACCGGCUAACUACGUGCCAGCCGCCGCGGUAA